GGAAGCAUGAAUCUGCAAGUACACAGCAACAAGUACAAAUAAAAAUGAAAUUAAUUGAUGAACAGUUCAGUUUGCACAAAAGAGAGUUCCAUUGACUUGAUAUAUGGUACGUCUAACAAGGAAACAGCAGCUAAAAAUUCCUCUUUCUUAAAGGGUAAUAUUCCUCAAUUUCGACAUCAGUAAUAGCCAUAAUAAGCGCUGUCCGCCAACAAGAUAUAAGUUCUUGUACGUGAAAUUCAUAAAUUUAAGUUCACAGUUUAGAAGAUACAUCUUGGAAAUUGUAUUAGAGAUUGGCAACAAAGUCUCAGUAUGAUGUAAGUGUUUUCCCCCCGGUGCAACAAACAAUGAGAAUGGCUAGUGAGUCAAAAAUGAUAGAAGACAUUCUAAAAAGGGGAAGGAGAGAGAGGCAAGAUGAAUUUGAACAAAAUGCACAAGCAAACAAGAAAUCCUGGGAUUCAGGCACCCCGAACCAAAGGAAAGCAACCCAGAUAAAAGCACAACAACAGCAGAGAAAUGAGAACAGAAUACAACUUCCACAAAGUCAAAAGAAGUGCACAGUCA
RNAcentral lists this unclassified non-coding RNA (561 nucleotides) under Hevea brasiliensis (rubber tree). The record is from RNAcentral. Lineage: Eukaryota; Viridiplantae; Streptophyta; Magnoliopsida; Malpighiales; Euphorbiaceae.